CACAUGCUCGCAAUCCACUUUCCAGCAGUCGGUCCUUCUCAAGAGAAGCUCUACUGUCUUCCCUGCAGCUUUACCAUCUCCUGCGCACAUCAUUCACCAUUAAGAACUUUUUGUUUAUGCCCCCCCUCUUUUUGUUUUUACCCUCAGCGUCAUUUGCGGGCUGAAAACUGAGGUCGGUAACUAGGAGAGGAUUCUUUCUACGGUGACUGCAAACAAAACCCUGAUCCACCACCCUGGUCCUGGCUGAAAAGAACUGUAGGAAAGGAGUCCUGGGUGUUUCUGCAGGACACUGGGGCGUUACUAUCCCCACACUGCAAACAGAAGAUGGUAUUUUUUCAGCCGGUUUUGCUUCGUUCACUGAUUUAAGUCGUGUUUCAAUCCGGUUGAGAUUGGACGUAGCAGGGUGCUGGAAACGGCAGGGAAUUGCAAGUCCUUCCCCAAUCGAUCUGCGGUUGUUCCUAGUGAGGCUAACAGAAAUGAAGCCAAGCCCUACGUCCGGGAGAAGGGGCAAGAGUCACCGUAAGUACUUCGUGAUCCCACCAGGAACAGCAAUCCUCUUCUCGUCGCCAAGCGUUUCUGAAUCCAACUUAUUCCUCAUCAGCGAGCUCUUCCCCAAACAAGACACCGCACAUCAGCCAUUUGGGAUCUCUUCCAUCCAUGUUGUAACGCGCUCUUCCGUGCAGUUUGUACUCACUGCAGCAUGUGCCGCCGCCAAGAGCAAGGCGUUGGUAAUCUGGGCACCCACAGUUGUGAUGAGGCAUCUUCAAUGCCGUCGUCCAAAUCAAAUAUUUGGCUGUGCUUCUUCAGAUGCGAUAUCUCAUAUUGUCACUGUGGUGCUGGCAGAGCGGGGAACUUGGGCAUGGAGGGAAGGGC
This 873-nucleotide long non-coding RNA is filed under the name Rattus norvegicus (Norway rat). RNAcentral describes it as "long non-coding RNA NONRATT034122". The record is from RNAcentral. Lineage: Eukaryota; Metazoa; Chordata; Mammalia; Rodentia; Muridae.